This 559-nucleotide long non-coding RNA is filed under the name Erythranthe guttata (spotted monkey flower). RNAcentral describes it as "long non-coding RNA (EGUT_LNC001851)". The record is from RNAcentral. Lineage: Eukaryota; Viridiplantae; Streptophyta; Magnoliopsida; Lamiales; Phrymaceae.
GCGGCGACGGUGGUGGUGAAACCCUAGGGGCCACAACCACUGGCAGAUUGCCAAAAUUUUCAGCGGAAGCGGCCGUGAGAAGGAGUGGGGGCUCCCAAUAUGCGAGGGGGACGGCGUCACACGGCUCCUCGAGGGCAGAUCGGCGACCGGAGCGGCGAGGCGGCAGUGGGUCCGUCGGAGACGUGGUCGCUGGUCGAGAGGGUCGUCGUUUAGACGAAGAAGACGAUCCCCUGGUGUUCUUUCGUUUCCCCAUGAAGAUGUUCCUUGAUUUCCUUCGAUUUGGUGGAAAUUUUGGGAAGUUUUGCUGCAAACAAAUAAGACGGAGCAACAAGGCAGUAGGGAAGAAGAAGAAAGGAAAUUUGGGGAGAAAAAAAAAACUUGAAAAAAAGGAUUAAGCAGAGAUGACUGUUGGCCUUCUUAUGGGUAUUUUAGCAAUUAGGAAAAAUAUAGUGAAAAAGUUGCAAAUAUUAUUCUGCCAACAAUGAGAGCAGUUAAUGAAAACCAAAGUCAGAUAUAGCAACUCUCAAACUUCACAUAUGAAGCCCAACACAGUUCAAGA